Molecule: transfer RNA, 57 nt
Filed under: Canis lupus familiaris (dog)
Lineage: Eukaryota; Metazoa; Chordata; Mammalia; Carnivora; Canidae
Source: Rfam by way of RNAcentral
GUCUGGGUAGCUCAGUGGUUGAGCAUCUGCCUUUGGCGCAGAUUGUGAUCCAGGACU